GAGCUUGCUCCUUUGAAGUUAGCGGCGGACGGGUGAGUAACACGUGGGUAACCUACCUAUAAGACUGGAAUAACUUCGGGAAACCGGAGCUAAUGCCGGAUAACAUAUAGAACCGCAUGGUUCUAUAGUGAAAGAUGGUUUUGCUAUCACUUAUAGAUGGACCCGCGCCGUAUUAGCUAGUUGGUAAGGUAAUGGCUUACCAAGGCGACGAUACGUAGCCGACCUGAGAGGGUGAUCGGCCACACUGGAACUGAGACACGGUCCAGACUCCUACGGGAGGCAGCAGUAGGGAAUCUUCCGCAAUGGGCGAAAGCCUGACGGAGCAACGCCGCGUGAGUGAUGAAGGUUUUCGGAUCGUAAAACUCUGUUAUUAGGGAAGAACAAAUGCGUAAGUAACUGUGCGCAUCUUGACGGUACCUAAUCAGAAAGCCACGGCUAACUACGUGCCAGCAGCCGCGGUAAUACGUAGGUGGCAAGCGUUAUCCGGAAUUAUUGGGCGUAAAGCGCGCGUAGGCGGUUUCUUAAGUCUGAUGUGAAAGCCCACGGCUCAACCGUGGAGGGUCAUUGGAAACUGGGAAACUUGAGUGCAGAAGAGGAAAGUGGAAUUCCAUGUGUAGCGGUGAAAUGCGCAGAGAUAUGGAGGAACACCAGUGGCGAAGGCGACUUUCUGGUCUGUAACUGACGCUGAUGUGCGAAAGCGUGGGGAUCAAACAGGAUUAGAUACCCUGGUAGUCCACGCCGUAAACGAUGAGUGCUAAGUGUUAGGGGGUUUCCGCCCCUUAGUGCUGCAGCUAACGCAUUAAGCACUCCGCCUGGGGAGUACGACCGCAAGGUUGAAACUCAAAGGAAUUGACGGGGACCCGCACAAGCGGGUGGAGCAUGUGGUUUAAUUCGAAGCAACGCGAAGAACCUUACCAAAUCUUGACAUCCUUUGAAAACUCUAGAGAUAGAGCCUUCCCCUUCGGGGACAAAGUGGACAGGGUGGUGCAUGGUUGUCGUCAGCUCGGUGUCGGUGAGAU
RNAcentral lists this ribosomal RNA (1019 nucleotides) under Staphylococcus succinus subsp. succinus. Its description in RNAcentral is "bacterial SSU rRNA". It matches the Rfam family "Bacterial small subunit ribosomal RNA", at positions 76 to 1073 of the family's 1533-position model. The record is from RNAcentral. Lineage: Bacteria; Bacillati; Bacillota; Bacilli; Caryophanales; Staphylococcaceae.